Molecule: long non-coding RNA, 204 nt
Filed under: Zonotrichia albicollis (white-throated sparrow)
Lineage: Eukaryota; Metazoa; Chordata; Aves; Passeriformes; Passerellidae
Description: lncRNA (ENSZALG00000004451.1)
Source: RNAcentral
UUUUGGGUAAUUUUGGGGUUCCCAAUUUUGGUUUUUCCCCCCCAAAGUCAAGCAGGUGUUCAAGGACCUGGAGUUCCUGGGUUUUGGGGAUUUUGGGUAAUUUUGGGGUUCCCAAUUUUGGUUUUUCCCCCCAAGUCAAGCAGGUGUUCAAGGACCUGGAGUUCCUGGGCUGGUACACGACGGGGGGACCCCCCGAGCCCGCCG